CACUCUAGAGAGACUGCCAGGGAUAACCUGGAGGAAGGUGGGGAUGACGUCAAAUCAUCAUGCCCCUUAUGCUUAGGGCUACACACGUGCUACAAUGGGUAGUACAGAGGGUUGCCAAGCCGUAAGGUGGAGCUAAUCCCUUAAAGCUACUCUCAGUUCGGAUUUUAGGCUGAAACUCGCCUACAUGAAGCUGGAGUUACUAGUAAUCGCAGAUCAGAAUGCUGCGGUGAAUGCGUUCCCGGGUCUUGUACACACCGCCCGUCACACCACGGGAGUUGGAGACGCCCGAAGC
Molecule: ribosomal RNA, 292 nt
Filed under: Clostridioides difficile
Lineage: Bacteria; Bacillati; Bacillota; Clostridia; Peptostreptococcales; Peptostreptococcaceae
Description: partial 16S ribosomal RNA
Rfam family: Bacterial small subunit ribosomal RNA
Source: RNAcentral